RNAcentral lists this ribosomal RNA (482 nucleotides) under uncultured bacterium. Its description in RNAcentral is "partial 16S ribosomal RNA". It matches the Rfam family "Bacterial small subunit ribosomal RNA", at positions 30 to 507 of the family's 1533-position model. The record is from RNAcentral.
AUUGAACGCUGGCGGCAUGCUUUACACAUGCAAGUCGAACGGCAGCGCGGGGCAACCUGGCGGCGAGUGGCGAACGGGUGAGUAAUAUAUCGGAACGUACCCAGAAGUGGGGGAUAACGUAGCGAAAGUUACGCUAAUACCGCAUACGAUCUACGGAUGAAAGUAGGGGACCGCAAGGCCUUAUGCUUUUGGAGCGGCCGAUAUCUGAUUAGCUAGUUGGUGAGGUAAAGGCUCACCAAGGCGACGAUCAGUAGCUGGUCUGAGAGGACGACCAGCCACACUGGAACUGAGACACGGUCCAGACUCCUACGGGAGGCAGCAGUGGGGAAUUUUGGACAAUGGGCGCAAGCCUGAUCCAGCAAUGCCGCGUGAGUGAAGAAGGCCUUCGGGUUGUAAAGCUCUUUUGUCAGGGAAGAAACGGUAGAGGCUAAUAUCCUGUGCUAAUGACGGUACCUGAAGAAUAGGCACCGGCUAACUACGUG